CCCAAGCAGGUUCUGUAUUACCAGUGCAGAGCCUGAUGUGGUGCUCUAUCCCAUGUACCAUGAGAUCAUGACCUGAGCUGAAAUCCAGUCAGAUGCUUAACUGAGUCACCCGGGUGCCCCAGAAACCUUAUUCAUUUCUAUUCAUCAAAAGGUACAUUGCCAAAAGUAUUUUAAUAUGUCAAGUUAAUGAAUUGUGUGAACAGUAAAACUUUACUUAUUCUCAUGGACUUAAUGAGAUCCAUGAAUUUUUUUCAGAACUAGAAGCUGAAUAUUUUGACUUGAACUAUCACCACAGAUUGCCCAUGAUUUAGUAGCAGUAAAUACUGUGAAUUUCUUUUGAGCUCAUAUCCAUGAUUAAAAUUUUUCUGAACAAGAAAAAUGGCCCUUAGCACUGUUAAUAGACUGCAUAUUUUUGCAAAUUAGCUUUUGCCACAGACUUGAUUUCUCUGGAUUUAAGUUAGAAGGUAAAACAAUACUUCUGUGUGAAGUACUGUGGUAGUCAUUUCAACGAGUCAUAAAUAAUAUCCAAAUACUAUAUACUGUGUAGUCAACAAAUAAGAUCUCCAUUCCCACAUUUUCCAGAAUCAAACUAUUCUAAUAGCAUUUUUUUUACUUUAAUGCAAGUAUGAAGAAAAUUUCCUUACUUAAAAAUGUAUUCAGUUCUUGGGGCUCCUGGGUGGCUCAGUGGGUUAAGUGUCCAACUUUCGCUCUGGUCAUGGUGUCACUGUCCGUGGGCUCAAGCCCUGCAUCAGACUCUGUGCUGACAGCUGAGAGCCUGGAGCCUGCUUUGGAUUCUGUGUCUCCCUCUCUCUCUGCCCCUCUCCUGCUUAUGCUCUGUCUCUCUCUCUCAAAAAUUAAUAAACAUUUUAAAAAAAAUUAUUCAGUUCUGUAUAUUUGAGGAACUGCUAUCUAAUAUUGGAAGUGAUUAUUCUGCAAUAUAAUAACCUCUUGAGAGGCAAAUAUCUAGAGAAAUCUCAAACAGUUCUGUAAUACUUUUCCUAGUAAUAAAUAUGCUCAGUCAAAAGCAGUACUCAGUAUUUGUUUGUAUGUAUCUGUGUGGACAGACUGUUUUAAAGAUGAAAUAUAUAAAAUCUCAUUACAGAUCGGCAUUAAGUGAACAUUUGCGAUUUUAAUAGAACAGUAACUUUGAACUCUAAUCUUAGAAUUUAAUUCUCAUUCAUAGACCUGUAUUGCAUAAAGUUGUACUUAUUUUUAAACUUAGAAUUUCAUGACUAUCAAUUUUGGCUAAAUUUUUUCUCACUAAGGAUCUGUGUAAUAGCCUUCACUUUGGCUCUUCACAACAUCUAAAAUAUGUACUAUUUGACUCCUUGAAGAAAAGAAAAAUGCUCAGAUACUACCCUAGUGAAAGGAACUGAAGUCAGAAUUGAGUGUUGUAGACCAUAAUAGAACUAAUGUGUUCUAGACCACACUAGACAUAAUGAUACAGAAGUAACAGGUCUGACAGAUCCAGUUGGGUUCACUGGUAGUCAAAUUGCUGGCCUGAACAAAACUCAAAUGUUAUAUAUUGGAAGUCAGCAUAAUGCAGUGGAGUGAGUUGAAUAGUGUCUCCCCAAAUUUGAUGUCCAUUCAGAACCUUAGUGGAAAUAGAGUCUGUGGGUGUAAUUAAGGUAAGGUUUGAGAUGAGAUUAUAUUGGAUUAGGUUGAAUCCUAAAUCCUUGAGAAACAGACCAGGACAUGCCAGGACACAGAAGACAGGAAGAGAGAGGCAAUGAUGUGUCUACAAGUGGAGGAGUACUGGCAUCCACCAGAAGCUAGAAGAAGAAAGGAAGGAUCCUAUAAUCUUGAAUGUGGCCCUGCUGAUACCUUGAUUUUUAAAUUUCUGUUUUAGGCCACAAAGUUUGUGGUAAUUUGUUAAAGCAGCCCUAGGAAGUUACCACAUCUACAGUCUCCAUGACAUUUUAUGUAAAGUGUUUAGCCUAAGUCAGUAAUUUCCUGACAUGCAUGAUGUGACCCAAAAAGAAGAGAAAUAAGUGCUACUAAAAAUGAUCUGAAUUGACCCAGAUGUUGUAAUUACAAGACAUGGAUUUUGAAGCUGCUUGUCUAAUAUGUUUGAAGGUUCAAAGGAGAAAAAUGAGGGAGCAGGUGGGCGCCUCGGCAGAGAAGGCAAGUAUAAAAAUAAAAGGAAAUUCUAGAACUGAAAAAGUAUGUGUAAUGUUAAGCCAGGGGUGAGUUUAAUAAUAUAGUGCAGAUUAUAGAUGUAUAUCAGCAGUUAUGAAUUGAAAAUUUGAAAGAAAAUUGUUUUAAAACAUUUAAACAAGGCCUUAGUUAUCUUUGGAAAAUAUCAACUGAUCCAACAUGUAACUGAGUGAAAAGGAGAGUUACAAAAUAUUUCAUGUGACAGGCAAAUUAUUUGAAGGAAUAGUGGUUGAAUAUGUGCAAAAUUUGGUGAAAAAUACCUUACACAUUAAAGAGAAUUUCAGCAAACCCAAAUAAGUCUAAUAAGCAAACUAUACCAGUACCCUGAUAAAGAUAAAAUCAUAAGAGAUUCCAAAAAAGGUAGUAAACAGGUGUGGACAACCACAUAAGUGACCACAGACAGCAGAAAUGGUGGAGGCCAGAACAUAAAAUGACCUUUUGAAGUGAUGGGGGCUCGAUUCAAAAUUCUAUGCCAUAUAAUUCAAAAGAGGCUGAAAGUUGAGAGUUCACUACUUGAAGACCUUGUUCUAGAAACAGCUAUUUGCCUCCCAAGAUCAGUGGUAAGGAGUUUGGUUGUCACAACUCAAAGUGCCUGGACUCUAGUGCAGGAAGGCCUAGGGUGCUUCUAAACCUCUUACACUGCACAGGACAGUCUGCCACUACACCAAUAUAGCAGUAGUUCCAGGGUAGUUCCGGGGUUCAGGGCUGGUCUAGAGGACUUGUCCCAGAACAUGCAAUGACGGUAAAACAUGGAGCUUUCCACUGCCUGCUUCUAGAUUUAUGUUGAAAUAGUGCAGGCAGCCCCCUGCCAGGAGUUAAGCUGCACAAAAUUAGAAGGGGCUUAGACCCCAGUGUUAAGUAAACAUUCAGUUACUUCUAUGAGGGUCUUAAGUGCUCCAUGAAUUACAGGAAUUUUAAAUGCUCAAACGGAAAAAAGGGCAAUGAAUAAUCCUAGGAAAUGCAAACAGUGCUCUUGGGAUUUAGGUUUAGGCACCAGCUGAAUCGGAAACAGGGAGUCAGGAUCUUGGCAUUGGCUCAGAAAAUGUGGUUGGAUUUUUCAGAUCCGUUGCAUUCAAGAAAUUUCUCUUUUCCCAAGAUACACCCCUCCACCCCCAGAGCUCUGCCAAGUAGGAGUCAGGAUGGCAGCCACUGUGGUUUUUGAAGACGAAGGGAAGGACUUCAGACCCCAGGAAGGAGGUGGCCCUGAAGGACACUGGCUCGUGUGCAGUGAGCGCGUUGGCACAGGAGGGACUCAAGUUCUCUCUGCCUUUGGGUCAGGCUAUGACCCCCACCGAAGGGCUCAGGCCCGGGGGAGUGGGGUAGGGGUGCUUAUCAAGUAGGGGUCGCGGACAGCAGGAGCUGCGGGGUGCGGGGAAGCUCUUGUAAGUGCAGCCGCAGUGGCCACGGGCCUGUGUUUAACUGGGUGCGUGUGGAGCCGCCUGCUGGUCUGGUCAGACCAGGCCGCACCGCAAACAAGCCGCGCCCCCUGGUUCUCUGCGCCAGGGGUACUGGCGUUCGACGUCCAACUCCGGAAGUCUGCUGGGCCCAGCCCGUGAAGAAGGGUCGCAGUCAGAAACUCAGGGAUACUAGGGAGAGACUCUGCUGUGGGCCCCGCCUCCCACACGAACGCGGUGCGCAGCGGCCAAGGUGUCAAGGGGACAGCACGGCCCGGCCUCUGAGAACUAUGCCCGGUGAAUACCCCGGCGGCUGGCCCUGCGCCACGACUGUCCACACGUGACCUUUUUCUCCUUAGGGGUACGAUUUAUGGAGUGAAGGAGCGCCGCUUCCUCCCAGGCUCUGCAGCCCCGCUCAGGCCAGGAGCCCAGGAGGCGUCUCCGUGGGCCAGCGGCGCCCUGGCCUUCGUUUGGCCCUCCGGGUCUCCGUCCCAGCACAGCGGUUGGCGCGAGUUGGGGACGGCCGCGGGCGUGACACUCGUCAGCACGAACCGCGAGCACAGCGCGAGGAGCACUUCAAUCUAAGGCCCCCGAGGAUAGGCCGGAACUAAGGGCUGUGCCAACUGGAGGGGCUGCGAGUCUGUGAAAGCCGCCGGGAGACUGAGCAUGUAUAAUCCGUUAAAAUGAGUUCAGUUAUGAGCUAAAGAGUGUGAAGCUGCCCUCAUAAAAAGGCAUGAUGUAUUAUUUCUUCUGGAGUUCCAAGGAACCUUUAACGUGAGGAAGAAAAAGUAUUACACACCUGGCAAGGAAAGACAAAUAUGGAGGCAGCUCAGAACAAGUGUUAUGCCCCUUCUUUUGGCAUCAGACACCUCUCUCAGUAGAUCCUUGAACCUGAGAAAAUACUUCUUUUUGGAGCUGCCAAGAGAAUUACUUGGAAAUUAAAAACGAGUGGAACUACUGGCACAAUGGAGUAAAGGGAUGACCCCAACAACCAGUUCCUUUUUCUUCUGGUUGGAUCUUGAAAAUCUGAUUUACUAUCACUAUUGUUUUGCAAAAUUGCUUGAAUUAGUAGAAGCAAAGCUAAAAACAAACAAAAGAGGUAAAAAAAAAUGCCUGCACUCUACAAUGCUAAUAAAAACUGAUAUGUAGGCAUAAUUUUGAAUUGGGAAUUCUAGUUUACUGAAAAUAAAUCUUAUUUGGGGUGACAAA
Long non-coding RNA from Felis catus (domestic cat), 4760 nucleotides. RefSeq lists it as uncharacterized. NCBI's taxonomy places the organism in Eukaryota, Metazoa, Chordata, Mammalia, Carnivora, Felidae. The transcript has 3 exons. The record is from RefSeq and is a predicted model, not a curated record.